RNAcentral lists this ribosomal RNA (249 nucleotides) under uncultured bacterium. Its description in RNAcentral is "partial 16S ribosomal RNA". It matches the Rfam family "Bacterial small subunit ribosomal RNA", at positions 57 to 305 of the family's 1533-position model. The record is from RNAcentral.
GCAAGUCGAGCGGAAACGAAGAUAGCUUGCUAUUAGGCGUCGGCGGCGGACGGGUGAGCAACGCGUAGGAACCUACCUAGUAGUGGGGGAUAGCCCAGAGAAAUUUGGAUUAAUACCCCAUACGCCCUAUGGGGGAAAGGAGGGGAUCUUCGGACCUUUCGCUAUUAGAUGAGCCUGCGUGAGAUUAGCUAGUUGGUGAGGUAAAGGCUCACCAAGGCGACGAUCUCUAGCUGGUCUGAGAGGAUGAUC